This 305-nucleotide ribosomal RNA is filed under the name uncultured bacterium. RNAcentral's name for it is "bacterial SSU rRNA". It matches the Rfam family "Bacterial small subunit ribosomal RNA", at positions 335 to 657 of the family's 1533-position model. The record is from RNAcentral.
UUACCUACGGGGGGCAGCAGUGGGGAAUAUUGCACAAUGGGGGAAACCCUGAUGCAGCAACGCCGCGUGAGUGAAGAAGUAUUUCGGUAUGCAAAGCUCUAUCAGCAGGGAAGAGAAUGACGGUACCUGACUAAGAAGCCCCGGCUAACUACGUGCCAGCAGCCGCGGUAAUACGUAGGUGGCGAGCGUUAUCCGGAAUGAUUGGGCGUAAAGGGUGCGCAGGCGGUCCUGCAAGUCUGGAGUUAAACGCAUGAGCUCAACUCAUGCAUGGCUUUGGAAACUGGAGGACUGGAGAGCAGGAGAGG